Molecule: ribosomal RNA, 400 nt
Filed under: uncultured bacterium
Lineage: Bacteria
Description: bacterial SSU rRNA
Rfam family: Bacterial small subunit ribosomal RNA
Source: RNAcentral
GGAAUAUUGGGCAAUGGGCGCAAGCCUGACCCAGCAACGCCGCGUGAAGGAAGAAGGCCCUCGGGUUGUAAACUUCUUUUAUUCGGGACGAAGAAAGUGACGGUACCGAAUGAAUAAGCAUCGGCUAACUACGUGCCAGCAGCCGCGGUAAUACGUAGGAUGCGAGCGUUAUCCGGAAUUACUGGGUGUAAAGGGAGCGCAGGCGGGACUGCAAGUUGGAUGUGAAAUGCCGCAGCUUAACUGCGGAGCUGCAUCCAAAACUGUAGUUCUUGAGUGGAGUAGAGGCAAGCGGAAUUCCGAGUGUAGCGGUGAAAUGCGUAGAUAUUCGGAGGAACACCAGUGGCGAAGGCGGCUUGCUGGGCUCUAACUGACGCUGAGGCUCGAAAGUGUGGGGAGCAAA